GAUGAAGAACGCAGCGAAAUGCGAUAAGUAGUGUGAAUUGCAGAAUUCAGUGAAUCAUCGAAUCUUUGAACGCACAUUGCGCCCCUUGGUAUUCCAUGGGGCAUACCUGUUCGAGCGUCAUUUGUACCUUCAAGCUUUGCUUGGUGUUGGGUGUUUGUCCUGAGGGACUCGCCUUAAAGUAAUUGGCAGCCAGUGUUUGGUUUUGAAGCGCAGCACAAGUCGCGAUUCAAAGCUAUACGCCCGCUUCCACAAGCCUUUUUCACUUUUGACCUCGGAUCAGGUAGGGAUACCCGCUGAACUUAAGCAUAUCAAUAAGCGGAGGA
RNAcentral lists this unclassified non-coding RNA (323 nucleotides) under soil metagenome. RNAcentral's name for it is "partial contains 5.8S ribosomal RNA, internal transcribed spacer 2, and large subunit ribosomal RNA". The stretch from base 1 to 120 matches the Rfam family "5.8S ribosomal RNA", at positions 35 to 154 of the family's 154-position model. The record is from RNAcentral.